Molecule: non-coding RNA, 98 nt
Organism: Sporomusa sphaeroides DSM 2875
Lineage: Bacteria; Bacillati; Bacillota; Negativicutes; Selenomonadales; Sporomusaceae
Source: Rfam
AGUUAUAGCUAGGGGUGCCCGACGGCUGAGAGGAUUCAAAUCCAACCCUUGAACCUGAUGUGGUUAGUACCACCGUAGGAAAGCUUUCUGUUGAUAAA